Cucumis sativus (cucumber) is the source of this 809-nucleotide RNA transcript. It is a transcript of the gene named NADH dehydrogenase [ubiquinone] 1 beta subcomplex subunit 7-like, with no coding region annotated. Lineage: Eukaryota; Viridiplantae; Streptophyta; Magnoliopsida; Cucurbitales; Cucurbitaceae. The record is from RefSeq and is a predicted model, not a curated record. The transcript has 2 exons.
AUUCGUUUGCCUACAGCAAAGAGGAAGACGGCAAUUGAUAAUUUGAUUUCAAGUGAACCUAAGAAACCGUAGUCCACAGCGGAAGAGAGAGCACAGCAGAUCAAUCAUGGAAGUUCAGGGCUCCUCGAAGAAGAUGAUAGCCACCCAGGCUGAGAUGGUCGAGGCUAGGGUUCCAAUUCCUUACAGAGAUCAGUGCGCUCACUUGUUGAUCCCUCUUAAUAAAUGCCGCCAAUCCGAGUUCUACCUCCCAUGGAAAUGCGAAGACGAGCGCCAUUCCUACGAGAAGUGUGAAUAUGAGCUCGUUAUGGAGAGGAUGCUUCAGAUGCAAAAGAUCCGUGAGGAACAGGCCAAGUUGAAGAAGGGUAUUCAUCUCAUUCCCAAAACUGCCAAUGUAUGACCCCAUUCUUCAAUUAGGAAGCAGUAAAUUGCUGAGAUAUGUGAAGUUUCACUAUUUUCCGGCACCAGCAAUGGGAAGGCAUUUGAUACUGUUUGGUCGAUUGUAAAAACUCGUAGUUUUCCGAAAUCUUUAAAUCUUGUCAGAAUCCUCUAUUCGGGAUUUGGAAUAAAGUUACCCCUUGAGCAAAGAAGUGUAAACUUCAGCCUUUGUUUUUUUGAUUAAAUAUCAUUUAUGUCGAUGUGUACUGUGAUCCUGAAUAUCAUUUUGCUUUGUGGAUUGUUCCAAAAUGUCUCUAAUUUUGGAUAUCUUUGUGCUCUUCAUAAUCAUCUCAUUACUUAUUAUGUAUAACAAUAAUGUAAAUCACCGGUUGACUCAUUUCUGUCGAAGUUGAAUUAUAUUUAUUCUUACGCUU